GAUUCUGGCUCAGAACGAACGCUGGCGGCGUGGAUUAGGCAUGCAAGUCGAACGGGACUUUAUGUUGUAGCAAUACUUUAUAAAGUCUAGUGGCGUAAGGGUGAGUAACACGUGGGUAAUGUACCCGAUAGUUUGGGAUAACGUUCCGAAAGGGACGCUAAUACCGGAUGUGAUGUUAGACCGCCGGGUUUAACAAGAAAGGUGGGGACCGCAAGGCCCGCCGCUAACGGAACGGCCCGCGACCUAUUAGCUAGUUGGUGGGGUAAAGGCCUACCAAGGCGAGGAUGGGUAGCCGAACUGAGAGGUUGACCGGCCACACUGGGACUGAGACACUGCCCAGACUUCUACGGAAGGCUGCAGUCGAGAAUCAUUCACAAUGGACGAAAGUCUGAUGAUGCGACGCCGCGUGCGCGAUGAAGGUCUUCGGAUUGUAAAGCGCUUUGAACAGGGAAGAAUGCCGCGUAUUUAAUAGAUAACGCGGAGGGACAGUACCUGACAAACAAGCCCCGGCUAAUUUCGUGCCAGCAGCUGC
This 532-nucleotide ribosomal RNA is filed under the name uncultured bacterium. RNAcentral's name for it is "bacterial SSU rRNA". It matches the Rfam family "Bacterial small subunit ribosomal RNA", at positions 15 to 518 of the family's 1533-position model. The record is from RNAcentral.